Long non-coding RNA from Hyla sarda, 575 nucleotides. RefSeq lists it as uncharacterized. NCBI's taxonomy places the organism in Eukaryota, Metazoa, Chordata, Amphibia, Anura, Hylidae. The transcript has 4 exons. The record is from RefSeq and is a predicted model, not a curated record.
CCUUCCUCCUCUGUUCCCUGUGUCCCCCGCGUCCCCCUCCUUCACUCUCCUUCACCCUCCGUCCCCCUCUCCCUUACGGCGCAGGGAGCCGAAAAUGGGUCCCUGCCUGGGGCGGAACGAGCUGCACCUGCACCGGACUCCCGUGCCUGCUGUGGAACUGCAAGCUGCGCGGGCCGGCUUGCUUAAGGUUUAAAAGGUGAAGAAUUGUGUGUGGAAGAAAUCGUGAUGAUGGCCCAGACCAGAUGGAGAAGAGAAGGCAACAAUGCAAAUUAGAGAAGACGUCAUUGGAAUAGCAUUACACUAUGGAGAAGUUCAGCCGCUGGUCACAUUAAGCGGUUUCUAUGGAUGUCAAGACGUGCUGUUGCAUAUGCGGCUGGGAAGUGGUUAAACCGAGUCUACGAGUGGGUUGAUUACUCCUCACCUAAGCAGCUCUCAACAUGCUUUGAAGACAGAAACAGAACCGAUAACCCACUUACCUCAUAGUAGCCCCUGUCAAAGAAGUGGUUGCGGAAGCAGUGGACGACGGCUGAGCGAACCUUGAAGAUCUUGGACAUGUUCUCGCCUCUGAUCAUCAU